Cercocebus atys (sooty mangabey) is the source of this 3859-nucleotide long non-coding RNA. RefSeq lists it as uncharacterized. The record is from RefSeq and is a predicted model, not a curated record. The transcript is spliced from 3 exons. NCBI's taxonomy places the organism in Eukaryota, Metazoa, Chordata, Mammalia, Primates, Cercopithecidae.
GAAUUAUCUUAUCAGAGUCGAUCCCCCGCCCCUGUCGAAUAUUCUACGAAUCCCGUGCGUGUUCCAGUUCAUCCAUCCCUGCGCCUAGCCGCAAGCCCCCAGCGCGUCCCCUGGGAUAAUCGCCACGGUCUCCUAACUGGUUUCCCUGCUUGGUCUUGCCCCCUGCUAUCCUCUGGACGCGGUAGCCCGUGUGAUGGAAUUGCAGCAUGCUCCUCUUCAGAACACAGCAAAGAUCUUUACUGAUGACAGUAUGGGUAAGGGUGCCGUGUCAGGCACUCUGACUGGGCGGGUCCUGCACUACAUAGAGACUGCCUAAUUCCUACCUGUGCCCUUCGCUCCUUCCCACAGCCUGGCUCAAGGAUGCUUCCUCCUAGCUCUCCUCACCCUCCCUGAAGGCCUCAACCUCACAGCUUUUGCCUAUCUGGCCAGUCCCCUCCUGCGAUGCUACAGUCCAGAACCUUACACAACACAUCUCUGGGACUACUGGUGCUGUAACCUCCCUGCCUCCUGGUCACCCUCCUUCCAGUCUACAAGGCACCCUGCGACAUAACUGUAUUCUAAGAAAGCCUCCUUCAUUUUGUCUGUCAUCUGCCUUCUUCAGAAUCCACAGGCUCCCUAUGGCCAAGCCAAAAGCAUGGCUUUCUAAACUAAGAGGGGAUUUGAGAAAUGAUUCAGCUGGACUCCCUUGUUUCACAGAUGAAGAAUCUGACGCUCAGAAAAGAUGCGUGACUUGCCCAGGGCGGAGCCAAAACUGUAGUGAGGCCUCUACGUGAUGAGAACUUACUAUCCAUCCUAACUCUCCUGCACAUCACAAUACAUGCAGAGACUGCAUAUACAUGCUUAACUUCUCUGGCCUUUGGGUUCCUCAUCUGUAACAUGGGAAUAAUAAUCUUUAAUUUGGGGAAAAUGUUGUGAGGAUAGAAUGAAACUGUCGUUUAUCAAUUGCUAAAGGCUGUAGAGAACAUUGACUCCUGAGAACUUGACACAGAUUAUUUACUCAAUCUUCACAGCAACCACAUGAGAGUAGUAGUAUUCACCCCAUAGUAGAGACAAGGAACUGAGGCAUAGAGGUCACCUGGCUCACCCCUGUCCUGACAGCUCCUCUUUUGCCCUGGCUUCCCCCAUCCACCCCUUCACACACACACACUACACAACCAAGUGCCUCAUGUAGUUUUCUUCCUCUCUGGAUCACCAGAGUCUGUCGCUGUCACCUGCUACACCCACUUCUCCUAGGGAAGUUUACAUGGUCUGCCCUCUGGCCAUAGGUGAUUGCACCAGGGCUGGGCAUUGAACCAAGGGAAAGCAAGAAAUAAACUGGCUGAGCGAUGCAAGUCCUUUCUCAUGAGCAUUUGAAUUAAGGAGUUAUGAAAACCGAGUUACUUAGGUGGGGGCGGGCAAUGGAGACUAGCUGGAAGCUACCCUGGGCCAGGGUGAGCCAGGAGAGGAGAGUGGAGCAGAGGCCCAGGGAAAGGAGAGACCAGAGACCCCCAUUGUUUACCCCAGGUGUGCUGGGAACGUGUCCAUGCACACACACCCUCUGGCCUCGCCCACUCUAACAGAGUCCCCAACAUACAACCAGCCCAGCGUCUUCUCAGAUCCCAUGAGAUCUGACUGUAUUUUCCACUGCUGAGUUCUCUGAGAUUCCCAUCUGUCUUCCCAGGAAAUCCUCUUUUCGCUUCCACUGGUUUGAGCAUGUUUGUCCUCAUAGCCUGUGAGCCCUGGCUACGACAUCAGCUCAAGUAAUUCGACCAGCUCAGGGCCUGACUCCUCUGGGAAGCCUUCUGCCUACCUCUCUGUGUUCGUCUCAUCUUCCCCAGAGAGAUCCCAAACCCUACCACAGUGGCGGUCACUUCCCUUUCCUUCUCAACAUCCAGUACGUACUUGUGGAUUGGCCACAUCUUCUAACUUUGCAGUGCCCGUUUCCAAUUUUGCCCUUUGAAAUUGUACUGUCCUUAUGGUUACCACUUAAUGUUCUAGCAAAUCCAUGUAUCCAUCCAUCAUCUAUUUAUUCUUGGAACAUGUAUUUAGUGUCUGUGUCAGGCAGUGGGCUAGGCCCUGGGAAUGAUGAGGAUAAAGUUCUUAGUUCUUGGCCCAUAGGAGUUCACAGUCCAGGAGGGAAAUCCAGCUUCCCCUUGCCAAACUGGUCACACCAACAUAGCCUUUGCUUUCAUGAUCCCAGCUACACAUAAACACACAGUCCAGACAUGACUGUUAGCCCUGUCACGUUGUCACACACACCCAAAAACAGGCUCUAUCUUGUUUUCUCCUCCCCAUUCCCCUUCUUCACACUGAGUGCCACCUCUGUUUCCUGCCUGGUCUCUCACUGCUCUCAGCUCUGGAAGAUGCCCUGAAGUCCUCGCUCCACCCUCUACUCUCCCUCCUUUUUGAUCUUCAUUCUGUGGUAUGGGAAUUGACACUAUAGUCUAAAUGUGUGUGUGCGUGUGCAUGCAUGUGUGUGUGUGUGCUUGCGCGGGCCUUUAUGCUAUUUUAAGACCCCAGCACUUUGCAAAAACCUGAUGGAGAAUCCUGCCAAAGCCCAAGGGUGGGGGAGGGGAGGCUGGGCAAUCUGAGCCUGGGGCAGACUGGGCGUCUGGGGAGCCAGGUUAGCAGCUGCCAGCUGCAAAGCCUGGGCUCAAACCGCCGCUGUCGACUGCUGGUUUCCUGGCCUGCGCCAGCCCAGCCUGACCCGGUCUGUCCACCUCCUCUUUGCCAUGCCCAAGUCCUCAUUCCUCUCCAUGGUUUGCUUAGGAGUUUGCACACCAGGCAUCAUGUAAAAUUGUUGUGUUUCUGGAAACACAUACACACACAGAGAAGCCUUGAAAUUCUUCUUGGAACAGGUCCAGGGAUUUAUUUAUGAAAUUCCCAGGGGGUGAGAGAGACAGAAGUCUGGACUUUGCAGACUGAGUGGUGUGCCGUCAUCUUAUCAACAUAACCACCAGCUCUAGUGUGCACUUACUAAAUGCCCACUGCGUGCCCGGGCCAGGUGGAGGGGGCUUGUGGGGAGCACAGGUGCUCAGUACUGCAGGCAGCAGGGAUGUCUCCUCUCCCCAGAGUAAAAAAUCCAGACAUGGUAUUGACAUAUUUUGGGCAUGGUCCCCAACUCUGACCUCCCUGCUCUCUCUCCCAGCAGCCCCAUCUCCUCACUUCCUUCCUCUCCUUCUCUCUGAGUCUGCAGCCUCUCUCUCUUACCCACCCCACGUUGGAGUCCAUGCUGUCCUGUGGAUGGAUGUGUGGGUCUUCCAAAGAAGGGUUUCAAGGGUAACAUCUGCACCAGGGAGAAACUGUAGUGUGCUCAGUAUGCUACUCCAAUUCUUUGCAGUCUGGCAUGGAGAAGAAAUGGGGUUUAUGUGCAGGCGUGGCAGGGUCUGCAGAGGCUGGAGAAAGCUGGGGUGUCCAAGCCUCUUAAGAUAAUUUCCAUUUCCUCCCCCAAGGACUUUAGGUGGAUGCUUCACUGGAAACUAGAUGGUCCCCAGUCUGGUCAGACUGAUGGUGUUGGGGAUAGAACCUUUGCUCUGCUUCCAGGAAUCAAAUGUGUAGAGCUUUCUGCAGCAAGACAAGUCAACAGGUCUCUUCCCCUUAUCUAACCCACCAUCUCCAGGAGAACCUGGCAGAACCUGAGGCUUCUGUUGCCUCUCUUUAAUUCAGUAGGGGUGGGAAGGGGUGGGUCUGAAUGUGUCUUUAGUUUCCCAUGUACAUCCUGCCUUUGAGGGGAAGCCAUAUGAUCAAUAUCUGUGGAAUGACUGAUCUUAUGCAAAUGUGAUUUUAGAGGUAAGCUCCCAGUGGAAAAUAUGGACUAGACUAGUCUAUCAGAGAUAAGAUAGAAAGACAUAGACAGAGGGCCACUGCACUUACCACAGGA